RNAcentral lists this long non-coding RNA (2766 nucleotides) under Gossypium barbadense (sea-island cotton). Its description in RNAcentral is "long non-coding RNA (GBAR_LNC008638)". Lineage: Eukaryota; Viridiplantae; Streptophyta; Magnoliopsida; Malvales; Malvaceae. The record is from RNAcentral.
AUAUGGUGGAUCACGCACAUAGCACCACCCAUAAAUCAGGGAAUCAGCACACAGCAACCCCUUUUAUAUACAACAUACUACGGCUUAUUCCGAGUGUUCAACCCAUAACCCAUAUAUUGCAACCCUUUAUCACCUUUCCCGAUUUAACAACAUUUUUAGGAUAUUGCCAAACAUUUAUUUUAAUUCCAAAUAAAUCUCAACAUAUAUCAAAUAAUAUCAAAAUAAUACAUUAAGUCACGUGUUUACUUACCUCGGUGCAAAAUAUCGUAAUUUUGCACUUUACUCCCCUAUCUUUUCUUUUCCCCGUUUGAUAUACUCUUCACGUCUUUCUUGAUCUAUAAUAGCAAAUUUAACUCGUUUAAUAUUCACAUUUAUUAAAAUAAUCCACCACCCAACUUUUUGAAAAUUACAAUUUUACCCCCAAACUUUUGCAUAAUUACACUUUUGUCCCCAAGCUCGGAAAUUAAACUUCAUCACUUAUUCUUAAGUUUUAUAACAUGCUGAACAUUUUUCCCUUCUAUAGAAACAUCAAAUUCCCACUCCAACACAUACUUUUGAAUAUUAAUUAUUUUUACCGAUUAUGUCUAUUUACCCGUUUUCGCUUAAAAUUGCUUAGCAAAAGUUGUUUAACAUAAUCUCUAGCUUCAUAUUCCACCAUAAAACAGCAAAAUAAACACAUUUCACCUAUGGAUAUUUUUCCAAAUAUGAACCCUAACAUGAAUUAAUGGUAGAAUAAGCUAAACCAAGUUACCGGGACUCCAAAAAUACGAAGAACAUUAAAAACGGGGCUUAGAAUCACUUACUAUGGAGCUUGAAAGCUUAAAAACCCUAAAUAUGGCUUCCCCCUUGCUGAUUUCGUUCACCAUGAAGAAGAUGAGCAUAUUUUGCCAUCUUUUUCCCAUUUAAUUCUAUUUAAUAACCAAAUGACUAAAAUGCCCCCAUUUAAAAAAAAUCUAUUUCACCCAUUUCUUAUGUCUAUUUUUGUCCAUCAACUAACUAAUGGUCUAAUUACCACAUAAAGACCUCCAAUUUAAAAUUUCAUAACAAUUAGACACCUCUAAGAUGUAGAACUCAACUUUUGCACUAUUUACAAUUUAGUCCUUUUGACUAAAUUGAGUGCCCAAACGUCGAAAUUUUCGAACGAAAUUUUUACGAAAAUUUUCCGUGAAAUUGUAGAUCAUAAAAAUAUAAUAAUAACCAUAUUUUCCCUCGUCGGAUUUGUGGUCCCGAAACCACUAUUCCGACUAGGCCCAGAAUCGGGCUGUUACAUAUUUCAUGUUGACCAAUUUUUAAUAAUAGAAGUAGAUAAAAUUUUUAAUUAAAGGAUAAAUUUACUUUUUGAUUUGACGUACUAAAAUUAUUUUUUUUCUAGGGUGAAUUACAAUAUUUCAUUUGUUUUAAAGUCAACAACUGAAACCUAUUUUUUUUUCCUUUGUACUGCUUUUCAAUGUCAUCCUUUUCCCUUAAAAAAAGUUAAAUAUUUGAAAUGGAAAAUGACACGACUAUGAAAUUCUAGAAGAUAUUUAAUUAAUUGGAUAUCAAAUUUGGAAAAGUAGGAAUAAUAUGUCCUUCACAAUAUCAUCUUGGAACACAAAUAAUAUCAAUAAGGAAUAGUUUUAUUCAAAUUCAUUGCUGAGACAAGAAAAAAAUAAUAAUAAAAGGAGAAAUACUUUCCACUGAAAAAAAGUAAGUUAUUUUGGUUAACAAAGUGAUAUUCUCAAAGCCUUUUUGUCAUCCUUAGUUGAUUCCAAUAUUCAUUUUUUUUAUCAUCAAUAAAAUUAAUAAUUAAUCUAAUCUAAUAUUUGUUAAUACAAAUAACUCACAUUUAAUUUAAGUUUAAUUUUUUAAAGAAAUUAUUUUAUGUAAUGAGAUUUAAAUGAUUUAUCAUCUCAUUUAUUGGGUUAAUAUAUAUUUUAACCCUACAAUUUGGCACCAUAGAAAGCGCUAAGUAAUUUGAUUUUUUAUUGGUAUUUAAUUAUUUUUUUAUUAAUUUAAAACACGUGACGUAAGAUGAUGGGUUGAAAUUGUAAAAAUUAACGAAGUUAAUCAUGUAUCAAUAAAAUGUAUCAAUUUGAUUAACGAUUUUUAAAUUUAAGUACCAAUUAAAUAAAAAGAAAUGUACCAACUAAGUAGAAGCUAUCAAGUUCUGAAAGCAUAAGUCUAUUAUAGACCUUGAUGCUUGAAAAUCAAACUUAUAAUAAAAGAAAAAGAAACAUAAGAUCAUAAUACAGAAAACAAAAGAAAAUACAACUAUGGUAAAUCACUAAAAAAACACAUGUAUUUUAGUAACCAAGCUAGUAUAUUUGCUGAAAAAUUAUUCAAAAUUACUUACUAUUGAGACUUUGCCCACUUUGGGCCGGGUUUGCUGAACAAUUUGACAUUCGAUCAAAUCGUUGGCACUUGCUACGAACUUGAGAGUUGGGAUAGUUGACAAACAUACCAUCUCGCAUAGUUGGUGGUGGUUGGAAUUUGAUGAUAAACUCCGGCAUCGGGUUGUUGGACAACGGUAACAGCUUGCGGUCCAUGAUAAAUGUAUUGGUUCGGAACUGCAGAUCGAUAAACCGUUGCGCCUCCGACUUGCCGACCUUUUGAUUCCGACGCAACCUUGAUAAGAUGACCUAUUGAACAUGCCAUGGAGCUUAGUAUUUCUUUUCGUUUGGUGUUGUUUUUUUUGCCCUUUCUUAUAUGGUUACUUAGAGGCUUAGGCAUCAAUAUUUAUAUAGGAAGUCUAGGAUAUCUAGCUGAAGCUUUUUAAUUUCCCAUUUU